AACUAGCUACGAGCUAACCUGAAGCUAACCCAAAAAAAAUAAUAAUAAUAAAAAAAAAAAAAACCUGAAGCUAACCCUGGCUAACCCAAAGCUAAAGCGGAGGUGGGAGCCGAGCUAACGGAUGUAGCCACCUAGCUUCAACCCAACCGGAGCUAACUGGAACACCCAUCGACCUGAACCUCACACGGAGUUUAGGUGGAGGUUUUCUGCGCCUGUUCGUGAGAAGUACCUGUAUUAAAAAAGAUUUAAAUCGAUCUGUUUAAAUGUCACCAUGGCAGCCUGUGUGUCUCCAACAUCAGCUACACAAAGCAGCUAGUCCAUUUGGAUCAUUGGAGACAGCUAUGUGAGGCGUGGUGCCCAGAGAGCUGCAGAGACAACCUUGGCCUCCCUGACGUCUGUGUCUCCUGGUUCGGUUGGGGCGGACCAUCGACAUACAUACAUGUGCCGACACUUUGCGCCCUGUUUUAUAAAAUUUAGUGUUAAAAAUAAAUGUUUUUGCUCAA
Non-coding RNA from Nothobranchius furzeri (turquoise killifish), 503 nucleotides. The record is from RefSeq and is a predicted model, not a curated record. NCBI's taxonomy places the organism in Eukaryota, Metazoa, Chordata, Actinopteri, Cyprinodontiformes, Nothobranchiidae.